Molecule: long non-coding RNA, 1716 nt
Organism: Clupea harengus (Atlantic herring)
Lineage: Eukaryota; Metazoa; Chordata; Actinopteri; Clupeiformes; Clupeidae
Source: RefSeq, a predicted model, not a curated record
UCAGCUUAUUUGGACUACCGGGGUUCGAGAUGCCUAGCCCAUAAGAGUCUAAUUGAACCUGACAGGGAUGCUGUUGCCCUCAUCUUAAGCCUGUGGAUUGAUAGUUCAUUUUAGGGAAAGCAGGAUUUAUCCCAAAACCCUGAUGGGGUCAGUCAUAAUCUUCCAGUGUAGGGUACUGUGUUGAUUUGUACUUGUCUGUCCUUCCAUUUCUAUAAUGUCGUGCAAAAGGACACUACCACUGCAAGAAGAUGGAUCCACAGCAUCCUGAAGAUGGAAUCCAGGCAAUCAGUGAGAAGUGCUGGAAAAUAAUUGCACUGCAUAUGGAUUCAGAACUAUUUAACGCUGGCUUGACUUCCUUCUGCUGUUUCAGUGUUCAAGUGACCUUGAAGAUUCAACUAUCUACAUCUUAACAAUAAAUGAGCCUCAUAUGUCUAUAUUAUUCUUUUUUUAUUUGAACCCAAGUUCCCCUUUGGUCUUUUAUAAAACUUAAAUGUGCAUGUUAUAUUACUGUUAUUAGUAGAUAUGAUAUUAAUGUGAAAUUAUUGUUGUAAUAAUUUAAAGAUUAUUCAAAUUUGUUCUGCUGUCUGAUGGACUACUUUUGUAAUAAAGGUUCAAAGUUUUCACUGAUUUAGUUUAUUCAGAUUCCAACUGAUUAAUUCAGAAUGUUGGGCACAUUGGUAUCAAGCAAAUUAAAUGAAUAUACAGCACACAACAGUUUUAAUAAGUGAGAAAAUGUAUCAUCUGUUCUUCAUAAAACAAUGAAUGUGUUGGCUUUCUGUAUGGAUAAACAAAUUAUACACAGAUUUAUUCAGGGAAGUGUCAUUAGGAAUGGGAGCAAAACAGAUUUGAUACAAUUAAUUUUAACAAACAUGGAACUGUAAAGAAAGAAAAGGAAAACAAAGGAGCCACCUAUUCCAUGAUAUUGUGUUGACUGGGUGCAACAAGGCUGAUCUCCUAUUUAUAAUGGGAUUACUAGCCUACCAUGUGGCUUUAAUUAAGAGAGAGGCCUGAAUGACUCUUUAUUAUGGGAUGAAUAGCCUACCAUGUGUAAUCUGGUUAAGAGAGAGGCCUGAGUGAAUUGUGUUACCUUUAAAAUAUUGUACACUCAACGUUCUGUCAUUAGUAAGUUCCUAGAGUAUGAUAUGUAGAGAAGACUGCAUUUCCACCAUUUGUCCAGGAGGGCGGUGCGCAUUGUCAUUAACACGCACAUCAAAGUUUCACCUCUCAGUUUGUAAAACAUCAAUAGCUUACUGUGAGGGUAUUUGAAGUCAUGAAGGGUACCUCCAAUAAAAUAUAUCAAUUCAUGGAACAUUGUACAUGCUCUGGCCUCCUUAGUGACAUUAGGUUACAAGGUCACAGACCUGUAAGUAAAACACUGUGUGUUUCCAGGGUGGACUGUGCCUGACAUUCUGGUUUGCUCCAAACUAGUGAUUGUAAACAGUGUGAAGAAAGCUGGACGGGAUAAUUUUCCUGUACAGUUUCUAUAUAGCAACUUAAAACACACAAGACAAAAAAGAAAAGCAAAUCAAGAAUGAACACAAAUAUUCAUGACAGUGAAAAAAUUAUUAUUAAGCAGCAUGUGGCAUCCAAUGAGUUGGAAAAACAAAGAGACAACUUAGAUUUAGAAUCAAUGAACAUAAAGUCCUAUCCACCAAGCCGAUCCUAAAUCAUCUGUUGCAAGACGCUUUUACAGAUUUGAUUUUGGAUUUGGAAUCU